Molecule: ribosomal RNA, 442 nt
Filed under: uncultured bacterium
Lineage: Bacteria
Description: partial 16S ribosomal RNA
Rfam family: Bacterial small subunit ribosomal RNA
Source: RNAcentral
CCUACGGGGGCAGCAGUGGGGAAUAUUGGGCAAUGGGCGCAAGCAUGACCCAGCAACGCCGCGUGAAGGAAGAAGGCUUUCGGGUUGUAAACUUCUUUUCUCAGGGACGAAAAAAGUGACGGUACCUGAGGAAUAAGCCACGGCUAACUACGUGCCAGCAGCCGCGGGAAUACGUAGGUGGCAAGCGUUAUCCGGAUUUACUGGGUGUAACGGGCGUGUAGGCGGGGAAGCAAGUCAGAUGUGAAAACCACGGGCUCAACCUGUGGCCUGCAUUUGAAACUGGUUUUCUUGAGUACUGGAGAGGCAGACGGAAUUCCUAGUGUAGCGGUGAAAUGCGUAGAUAUUAGGAGGAACACCAGUGGCGAAGGCGGUCUGCUGGACAGCAACUGACGCUGAGGCGCGAAAGCGUGGGGAGCAAACAGGAUUAGAUACCCCAGUAGUC